CGGAAUGGGUGAGUAACACGUGAUUUAAUCUACCUUUUAGAUUGGAAUACCCAUUGGAAACAAUGGCUAAUGCCGGAUACGCAUGGAACCGCAUGGUUCCGUUGUGAAAGGCGCUGUAAGGCGCCACUAAAAGAUGAGGGUGCGGAACAUUAGUUAGUUGGUGAGGUAAUGGCCCACCAAGACUAUGAUGUUUAGCCGGGUCGAGAGACUGAACGGCCACAUUGGGACUGAGAUACGGCCCAAACUCCUACGGAGGCAGCAGGA
This 264-nucleotide ribosomal RNA is filed under the name uncultured Mycoplasma sp. RNAcentral describes it as "partial 16S ribosomal RNA". It matches the Rfam family "Bacterial small subunit ribosomal RNA", at positions 98 to 354 of the family's 1533-position model. The record is from RNAcentral. Lineage: Bacteria; Bacillati; Mycoplasmatota; Mollicutes; Mycoplasmatales; Mycoplasmataceae.